This is a non-coding RNA of Styela clava, 2078 nucleotides long. The record is from RefSeq and is a predicted model, not a curated record. Lineage: Eukaryota; Metazoa; Chordata; Ascidiacea; Stolidobranchia; Styelidae.
GAAUAAAUAAAUAAUACAAACGUAUUAUCACAUAGUAUCAGAAGUAAAAGAUUGAUCAUCAUGAGUAAAUUCAACUUUCCCAGAAACCUUCGCCUCAAAAGAAAUCUAAGCGAAAACUGGGGGAAAUUCAAGCAACAGUUUGAAAUAUAUUUAGAAGCAUCAGGUGACAAUGUAAAGUCGGUUAACACAAGAGUAGCAAUAUUCCUCAAUUUUGCCAGAGAAGAUGCGGUAGAAAUUUAUAAUAAUUUUGAUUUUGCGGAAGCCGAUAACAGAAAGAAACUUGAUAAAGUCAUCGAGAAGUUUAAAAACUAUUGCAAUCUUAGAAAAAAUGUUAAUUUUGAGCGACAUCAAUUUUGGCAAUCGACUCGAGAUGUUACCGAGACUAUAGAUCAUUUGGUAACUAGACGAAGUAAAGUAAAAUCUUGCGCGUUCAAAGAAGGGCCAGAAGAUAUGAUAAGGGAUUGUUUCAUUUUCAAUAUGCGUGGCCAUGGAGUAAAGGAGAGACUGCUGAGAGAAGAUGAACUAACGCUUGUUCAAGCUAUAAACAUGGCCAGAGCUGCAGGGACAUCAAAACAACAAAUACAUAAAAUGGAUAAUUACUCGGUUGGGUCGUCUGUUGACAACAUCAGGCAAUCAAAACACAAGAGCUUGUUCGCCAAGGCUGAUACGACGCGGCAAUGGAAAAACGUAAAACAUUGCAAGUACUGUGGUGGUAGUCACGUACCUAGAGCAUGUCCAGCUUUUGGAGAAAAGUGUCGAUUUUCCAAGAAGAUUGGACGUUUUGAGAAAGUAUGCAGGACGAAGCAAGAAGACUAUAAAUCAAGCAAAGAAAGAGUAGUGGGUUUGAUCUCUGAAGACUAAGAUGUUUUUAUGUUUUCGGUCGAUAGCGAGACUGAAAAGAAAUGGUUCGUUGACUUUCAUAUAAACAAACAGUUAGUUAAAUUUAAACUAGAUUCCGGUGCCGACUGUAACGUAAUGUCAAAAGAGACUUUUGAUGGAUUGCGUCUGAGAAGAUUAAAGAACAAAUCUGAGGAUGUAUGGUGGACAUAAGGUCAAAGCCUACGAAUUUCGAAAUACUAUCACUGGGAUGAAAGAGUCACCAGCAGAACUUCUAAUGAGCAGAAAACUUAGAAGCAGAAUUCCAACAGGAAAAAAUUCCCUGCAACCAAGAAUUUCAGCUGAUGCCAAGAAGUCUUUAUGUAGACGAAAACAAGACCAGAAGAGAUUUUACGAUCUUCAAGAGGGAAAAGAGUGGUAUCCAGCUGUAGACGUUUCCAAGCAUGAUACACCGCGAUCAUUAAAUAUUCUGACGCCAGAUGGCAGAAUGCUUGACGAAAUCAGCAUCAUUUGGUUACAACUAGGGGUGGGCAAAAUCGAAUCGGAGGUCGAUACUCCCUUCGAGAGAAGAAGAAACUUUGAAAAGUCGGCAACAAAGUGUUUUUUUACUGGUUAAAUUCAUCAAAAUCGCCAGUUGUUUUUGUCGCCGCGAUCCUAAAGUUCGUAAUCUGUAUUCCCGCCGAUUCAUUUUUUUGAAAGUAUCAAUUCUUGCGGGUCGGCGGACAUCGAAGUUUUAUAUAUUACGUAUACCCGUGUGUUGCCGUUGAAUUUUUUUUUAAAACUGAAAAGUCGCCAAUAACGCGUGCAAUAGCAUUUUGCUAUAAUCGCCGGGUAUUUAGGCCGUAAACAACUUUAUGUUGUUUUUAUUUUCUCUUGAUCUAAAAUUUUCCACAACGUUGUGCGACGUUAACGAUAAUUAUUUUAUUUUUGUACACAAACGGAAUUGCGAAUUCGGCGAUAGUUUAAUUAAUGUACGUUCACCGGCGGCGAGUUUCUGAAAACAACGAAAAUUUUUUGAUUAAAAUGCGACAAUAUAAAAUACUGAAAAUAGGACUGUAAACAAUAUGAGUUUUAUUGAUGCCUGUGACAGUUUUAAUACUGAUAUUCUUGGAUAUUUGAAAGUUCCGAGGCCGAGGAGAUCAGAAUUAUACUAUCAAAUUGCUAUUUUUUUGUGUGAAAGCUCGACGUAUUUAAAUCUAUUAGGAAAAAUUAUUCAGGAUACUGUGGAAUAAGUUAUCUUU